Molecule: small nucleolar RNA, 87 nt
Organism: Cuculus canorus (common cuckoo)
Lineage: Eukaryota; Metazoa; Chordata; Aves; Cuculiformes; Cuculidae
Rfam family: Small nucleolar RNA SNORD127
Source: Rfam
CGGCGACAAUGAUGACAGAAAACAGUAGCUGUAGGUAAUGUUCCAUUACCGCCUGGAGACACCAGUCCCUCUAAACUGACGUUGCCG